This 458-nucleotide ribosomal RNA is filed under the name uncultured bacterium. RNAcentral's name for it is "partial 16S ribosomal RNA". It matches the Rfam family "Bacterial small subunit ribosomal RNA", at positions 338 to 795 of the family's 1533-position model. The record is from RNAcentral.
CCUACGGGUGGCAGCAGUGAGGAAUAUUGGUCAAUGGGCGAGAGCCUGAACCAGCCAAGUCGCGUGAGGGAGUACUGCCCUAUGGGUUGUAAACCUCUUUUGUCGGGGAGCAAAAGCCGGACGUGUCCGGCUGUGAGCGUACCCGAAGAAAAAGCAUCGGCUAACUCCGUGCCAGCAGCCGCGGUAAUACGGAGGAUGCGAGCGUUAUCCGGAUUUAUUGGGUUUAAGGGGUGCGCAGGCGGAUUUUUAUGUCAGCGGUAAAAUCGUGGGGCUCAACCCCAUCCAGCAGUUGAAACUGGGGAUCUAGAGUGUGCGAGAGGUAUGCGGAAUGCGUGGUGUAGCGGUGAAAUGCAUAGAGAUCACGCAGAGCACCGAUUGCGAAGGCAGCAUACCGGUGCACAACUGACGCUCAGGCACGAAAGCGUGGGUAUCGAACAGGAUUAGAUACCCCUGUAGUC